AGUACUCUCUUUGGAAGACCCCCUUCAGGGGAGAUGUGUGGUACUUCUAUAAUUAAGAAGCUUAGAAUUUAGGCUUUUUAUAGCUUAAGGAGAGGGGUUUCUGUCACUUUGGGUAAGAUGAAGCUAACAAAAUAUAAAUUAAGAGUUAACUGUCUCUCCAAGAGACCUUGAUAACCUUGUGCCAGCAUCAGCGGCUAUACAAGGGAGUCAAAGCUAUACAAUUUACAUAGGGACGUUAGAAAGACUUACCUCAAAUUGCAUUUACGGGUAAAAUCCAAUAAAUUAAUACUUCUCUUUCCUAAAGAACGUAAGUUCACUUGUUAGACCGGGAUUAGAGACCCCGUUAUGAUGAAUGGUACCAAUUCCUGAGGAGAGAAAAUCAAAGAUUCUGGCUGUGUGAGAAAGUCUUUAGAGAAACUUGUCUAUUAAUCGACAAUCCACGAGAACCUUACUUGAGCUGGUAGUAACCAUCUUACAUACCGCCGUUUAGGAAGAGCAGAAGCUAUUACCUUAACAGAAUUCUUCUCUAAUAAUCCAGGUAAAGGUGUAGACAAUGCUCAAGGUUAGAUGAGUUGCAAUUAGGCUACUAUUGGAUAAAGAAUGAAAUUUCUUUAAUAAUUUGGAUUUGAAAGUAGUUACCCAUUAUCAUUGAGUAACGAAUAUCCCAUCUCACGAGUACAUAUCGCCCGUCACUCCCUCCUAAAAGAGGGAGAAGUCGUAACAUAGUGGGCCUACUGGAAGGUGGAUCUAAGAA
RNAcentral lists this non-coding RNA (754 nucleotides) under Laemobothrion atrum. Lineage: Eukaryota; Metazoa; Arthropoda; Insecta; Psocodea; Laemobothriidae. The record is from RNAcentral.